AGUGAACGCUGGCGGUAGGCCUAACACAUGCAAGUCGAACGGCAGCACAGUAAGAGCUUGCUCUUACGGGUGGCGAGUGGCGGACGGGUGAGGAAUACAUCGGAAUCUACUUUUUCGUGGGGGAUAACGUAGGGAAACUUACGCUAAUACCGCAUACGACCUACGGGUGAAAGCAGGGGAUCUUCGGACCUUGCGCGAUUGAAUGAGCCGAUGUCGGAUUAGCUAGUUGGCGGGGUAAAGGCCCACCAAGGCGACGAUCCGUAGCUGGUCUGAGAGGAUGAUCAGCCACACUGGAACUGGGACACGGUCCAGACUACUACGGGAGGCAGCAGUGGGGAAUAUUGGACAAUGGGCGCAAGCCUGAUCCAGCCAUACCGCGUGGGUGAAGAAGGCCUUCGGGUUGUAAAGACCUUUUGUUGGGAAAGAAAAGCAGCAGGUUAAUACCCCGCUGUUCUGACGGUACCCAAAGAAUAAGCACCGGCUAACUUCGUG
RNAcentral lists this ribosomal RNA (492 nucleotides) under uncultured bacterium. RNAcentral describes it as "partial 16S ribosomal RNA". It matches the Rfam family "Bacterial small subunit ribosomal RNA", at positions 29 to 507 of the family's 1533-position model. The record is from RNAcentral.